RNAcentral lists this unclassified non-coding RNA (223 nucleotides) under uncultured Ascomycota. RNAcentral's name for it is "sequence contains ITS2". The record is from RNAcentral. Lineage: Eukaryota; Fungi; Ascomycota.
AACGCACAUUGCGCCCUCUGGUAUUCCGGGGGGCACACCUGUUCGAGCGCCGUUGACAUACUAAGGCCCUGUCUUGUGUUGGCCCUUCCCGCUAGGGAUCGGUCGAAAAUUAUGCAGAUCCCAGAAAAUCGGAAGCAUACGCAAUAGUAUAGCGAAGAUGUUCUGAAUCUCAAUUAUCAACCAGUUUGGCCUCGGAUCAGGUGGGGAUACCCGCUGAACUUAA